Molecule: long non-coding RNA, 868 nt
Organism: Corvus hawaiiensis (hawaiian crow)
Lineage: Eukaryota; Metazoa; Chordata; Aves; Passeriformes; Corvidae
Exons: 6
Source: RefSeq, a predicted model, not a curated record
AUUAAGAUAAGAAGAUGAUAAAAGACCAUGCUUAAUUUUAACAUUUUUCUUUAUUCCCUCAUAGGUAUAUUUUUAUCACUGGAAAGCCCUUUGUGCUUUGGAAAUAAGAAGAUGGAACACAAUUGAUGAGAUAGCUCUUAAAAUUUUAGAAAUCUUUCUGUGGAAGUUUCUGUUUCUCUACUAACAAAGGGAAGACAGAGAACAACAUUUCCUAGACCUUUAUCAGAGGCAAUCCUGGCUGAAAAGAACACUAUUUUGCUCUGUGAAGAAAUGAACUUCUGGGGGGGGGGGAUAGGUUGACCCACAUUUCAAAAAACAGAGAAAUCCUGUUAACAUGGACUACAUCUCCAGCUGUGCUAAAAGGCACUUUGAAGACACAUCACUAAGUGGACAAGCCAAUAUGAAAGAGGCACCUCACCAAAGCCACAUCUACAUGAGUGCACUAAAUGCCUGACACGGAAACCAGCUGGCAUGGUGCAGCUUGUCCCUAGGCUGGCAAUUUGCUUUGCCAUGAUUACAUUUCCUCUGCACACUGUAUGGCACAGGCCCCAACAGGUGUUCUAGAACACCAAGUCAUCUGCAUAGAACUGCAGAUUGGACGCAUUUAUCUGGAGUAGAAAAGCUGGAGACCAGGAGACCAGGCAGGGUAUUCUAUCAAGUCUGAAAUUAUUCUAGAGACUGAUGUUUGAACAACUGAAGCCUACCUCCAUGUUUGCUCUGCAAUUUUUCCAUUGAAUUUGUAUGGAUGACUAUCUGUGAUUAUUGCAAUCCUUCAUUUCCUCCACAGGUGGGUAAAUAAUUGGUCUGGUAACAACACAUCCAUGUUUGUACUACCUUUCAGAGGUUUAAUUUACAAGAUUAAUAUAUA